Molecule: ribosomal RNA, 654 nt
Filed under: Ochrobactrum sp. MYb18
Lineage: Bacteria; Pseudomonadati; Pseudomonadota; Alphaproteobacteria; Hyphomicrobiales; Brucellaceae
Description: bacterial SSU rRNA
Rfam family: Bacterial small subunit ribosomal RNA
Source: RNAcentral
GCGCGGCUUACACAUGCAGUCGAGCGCCCCGCAGGGGAGCGGCAGACGGGUGAGUAACGCGUGGGAAUCUACCUUUUGCUACGGAACAACAGUUGGAAACGACUGCUAAUACCGUAUGUGCCCUUCGGGGGAAAGAUUUAUCGGCAAAGGAUGAGCCCGCGUUGGAUUAGCUAGUUGGUGAGGUAAAGGCUCACCAAGGCGACGAUCCAUAGCUGGUCUGAGAGGAUGAUCAGCCACACUGGGACUGAGACACGGCCCAGACUCCUACGGGAGGCAGCAGUGGGGAAUAUUGGACAAUGGGCGCAAGCCUGAUCCAGCCAUGCCGCGUGAGUGAUGAAGGCCCUAGGGUUGUAAAGCUCUUUCACCGGUGAAGAUAAUGACGGUAACCGGAGAAGAAGCCCCGGCUAACUUCGUGCCAGCAGCCGCGGUAAUACGAAGGGGGCUAGCGUUGUUCGGAUUUACUGGGCGUAAAGCGCACGUAGGCGGAUUUUUAAGUCAGGGGUGAAAUCCCGGGGCUCAACCCCGGAACUGCCUUUGAUACUGGAAGUCUUGAGUAUGGUAGAGGUGAGUGGAAUUCCGAGUGUAGAGGUGAAAUUCGUAGAUAUUCGGAGGAACACCAGUGGCGAAGGCGGCUCACUGGACCAUUACUGACGC